CAUUGAACGGAAUCAAUAGUGACUAGGAUGGUUGCUACUAAGGACGGGAAAUGGACACCUCUGGACGAGGCAAGGAUUUGAACAUCAGGAUGAUGUCAGGGACACCGCUCAGGGAACAAGUGAUGAGAGCUAACGAGGAUGGUUAGCAGACCAGGAUAAGGUCAUUAAGGACACCGCUAGGAAGGCGACGUAAGGAUUAAGCUGACGGAUUCAGCACACUAUCAUGGAUUAGAUGCAUGGAGCACUCUUAGUAGCCGGAUUGCUGCGAGUAAGACUAUAACCCCGAUGGGCGCAAGCCCUCGGGGUUUUUCUUUG
RNAcentral lists this non-coding RNA (315 nucleotides) under Vibrio harveyi. The record is from RNAcentral. Lineage: Bacteria; Pseudomonadati; Pseudomonadota; Gammaproteobacteria; Vibrionales; Vibrionaceae. RNAcentral also lists the same sequence under 2 other names.